ACCAUUCAUUAGAGGGAAAAAUGCGGGAAUGAAGUGAAAGUCCAGUAACCGUCUCUCCCCUGCAGAUCUGGAGCUGCUCUGUUCCUCCUCCUGUCUGUCUCUCUGCACUCUCCUUUACACCAUAACGUAGAUGUUCCUCAGCGUCCACCCUGGGUCGCUCUCCUGAGGUCGCCAACAAAAUCUGCAGUAAACAGUCAACUCCAGCUGAGAUCCGAGAAGAAGAAGAUGGGUCGUCACAGGCCAGACAGGUCCAACAUGGGUCAAGGUGAAGAUCCUCAAGGUCCAGAAGAUCCAAGAGAGUCUGAAGAUCCUCAAGGUCCAGAAAAGGAACCUCAGAUGACCAUCAGGAGAAGAUCUCUGGAUAUUCAUUUUAAUUUCUUCUCAGAACUCCCACCUGCUGCCAGUGUCGAGGAGAAUCAGGACACAACACCAUCAUUAAACACCAUCACUGAUCCCAAAGAGGAGGCAAAGUCAAAUAAUGUUCUCAGUGUUUAAACACAGACAGAUCAGAGAGGACGAGAACUUUAAAUAGAAAA
This is a long non-coding RNA of Neoarius graeffei (lesser salmon catfish), 536 nucleotides long. RefSeq lists it as uncharacterized. The transcript has 3 exons. Lineage: Eukaryota; Metazoa; Chordata; Actinopteri; Siluriformes; Ariidae. The record is from RefSeq and is a predicted model, not a curated record.